GAUGAAGAACGUAGCGAAAUGCGAUAAGUAAUGUGAAUUGCAGAAUUCAGUGAAUCAUCGAAUCUUUGAACGCACAUUGCGCCCCCUGGUAUUCCGGGGGGCAUGCCUGUCCGAGCGUCAUUACAACCCUCAAGCUCAGCUUGGUGUUGGGCCCCGCCGCCCCGGCGGGCCCUAAAGUCAGUGGCGGUGCCGUCCGGCUCCGAGCGUAGUAAUUCUUCUCGCUCUGGAGGUCCGGUCGUGUGCUCGCCAGCAACCCCCAAUUUUUUUCAGGUUGACCUCGGAUCAGGUAGGGAUUCCCGCUGAACUUAAGCAUAUCAAUAAGCGGAGGA
This 329-nucleotide unclassified non-coding RNA is filed under the name soil metagenome. RNAcentral describes it as "partial contains 5.8S ribosomal RNA, internal transcribed spacer 2, and large subunit ribosomal RNA". The stretch from base 1 to 120 matches the Rfam family "5.8S ribosomal RNA", at positions 35 to 154 of the family's 154-position model. The record is from RNAcentral.